Phascolarctos cinereus (koala) is the source of this 1015-nucleotide non-coding RNA. NCBI's taxonomy places the organism in Eukaryota, Metazoa, Chordata, Mammalia, Diprotodontia, Phascolarctidae. The record is from RefSeq and is a predicted model, not a curated record.
AAGGAGAGUAAAGUGCUGUGGUAAAGAGAUUAAGUUUUUUCUGUUUGGUCCCAGAGGCAAAACUAGGAGCAAAAGGUAGAAGUUGAAAAGAGGUGGAAUGAGAUUCCUCAGGAAGUGGAGGCCUCUCCCUCAUUUAAGAUCUUCAAGCAAGGGCUGGAUGACCAUUCCUCAAGUAUGUCAUACGGGGGAUUCCUGUUCAGGACUGGAUGGUCUCUGAGAUGCUUUCAAACUUGGAGCUUUUAUGAUUCUGGGUCUAGCACAAUACUUGAGGCAUCACAGGCACUUGUUUUGUUGAUUAAUAUUUGCUGUGCAAACAUAGCCUGUCACAGGUGAACAGAACUUUAGAGAUUUUUUACUCCAGUGCCCUCAUAUUAAAGAUGAGGAAAAUGAGGCCUAGAGGAAGCAAGCUAUUUGCCCACAAUCAAGUACCAGGAAGCCUACAGAACAGAUGCUGCCCUUGUCCCUGACACUAGCUAUGAACAGAUUUUACUCAAGUUGUUGAUGUGUAGUUGUGUGUGUGUGUGUGCCCACAGAGAGGCUGCUCCCCAAUCCCCAACAGAGGAAUGAAUCACCCUGAUAAGCAGCUCUAAAUCUGUGAUUCUGCAUAAUCCAUGCAUUGCCCAUACCUGACUCCUUCCAUAACUCUGCCAGCCACAUCACUGCUGAAGGGCAGGAGACAUGCUUUGCCAUCCAAUCUUUUGAAGUCUGUGAAGAAUUUCUUGAUGGUCUAUAGUGAUAUAUUCUUACUCUGAAGAUCUAUUCCAUUUAUAGUUAGUACAUCAAUUCAAUUAAACAAAUAUUUAUUAAACUAUAUUGUGUAUGGAACACUGCUAGGUGCUACAUGAGAUACAAAAUUAGAAUAAUAUAUGGUCCCUGUCCUCAUAGAGCUUAUAGUCUAGUAGGAAGAUAUGAAAUAUACAUAAAUGCCAGUGUUAUGAAAUAAUACACAAUUGGUAUAUUAGAUUGGUUAAAGAAGUUAUAUGAGGAGCACGGACCCUGGAGUCAGGAGGACCUG